UACGUAGGUGACAAGCGUUGUCCGGAUUUACUGGGCGUAAAGAGCGCGCAGGCGGUCGUUCAAGUCGAGUGUGAAAGCCCCCGGCUCAACUGGGGAGGGUCACUCGAUACUGAUCGACUCGAAGGCAGGAGAGGGAUGCAGAAUUCCAGGUGUAGCGGUGAAAUGCGUAGAUAUCUGGAGGAAUACCGGUGGCGAAGGCGGCAUCCUGGACCGGCAUUGACGCUGAAGCGCGAAAGCUAGGGGAGCAAACAGG
This 253-nucleotide ribosomal RNA is filed under the name uncultured bacterium. Its description in RNAcentral is "partial 16S ribosomal RNA". It matches the Rfam family "Bacterial small subunit ribosomal RNA", at positions 524 to 776 of the family's 1533-position model. The record is from RNAcentral.